Nitrospinae bacterium RIFCSPLOWO2_02_39_17 is the source of this 74-nucleotide non-coding RNA. Lineage: Bacteria; Pseudomonadati; Nitrospinota. The record is from Rfam.
GCGCCUGUAGCUCAGUUGGAUAGAGCAACGGACUUCUAAUCCGUAGGUCGUAGGUUCGAAUCCUAUCAGGCGCG